Daphnia magna is the source of this 2440-nucleotide long non-coding RNA. RefSeq lists it as uncharacterized. NCBI's taxonomy places the organism in Eukaryota, Metazoa, Arthropoda, Branchiopoda, Diplostraca, Daphniidae. The record is from RefSeq and is a predicted model, not a curated record. The transcript has 3 exons.
AUGAGCGCCUUACUAUGAUCUUUUGGGAUUUUUUCCCUCCAAUUCGGGAGCGGGAACCGGAAUCGGGAACCAUGCGAUCGCGGUGUCAUCACGUGGUAGAAAAUGAAACUUUGAUUUGCCGCCUGUCGGGUAUUGAAUUGAAUACAAGUUAGAGCAGAACUACACCAGCGCCGCCAUUACACUACACGCAUUUCAUACAUCCAUUGAUUCAUCAUGAAAGCGGUGAAAGUGUGGGUCUCGUGGUCGAAAUGUUGUUUUGCUUCUACAACUGGUAUUAUUCGCGUGUUUUUGGGUAUGUUUUGUCCUGUGGCUAGAUACGUACGUAUAUAAAUAUUUAAACUACGAUGGUCACGUUAGUUAAAUCAGCUCUAUGAAAUUUGUUAAAAUCUUAAUGGGAAUCUAUUUACAAUAUCAAUUGAACAAUUUUGAGCUCCAGUUUGUCAAUUGAUGAAGGAUUCACCAUGAGGAAGGGUUUACCGGUGUUCAGAUCAUGGUAUAAUAGGUUGAGACAAAUUCUAUUAAGACUUAACCUAUUAUACCAUGGUUCGGAUUACAUGGGGUAUCUCUUGAUUUAGUUAUUGUAUUUACUAUUGUAUGACAUGAUUUCUUGAAAUAUUUCCUGUAUAACUUUCCUAUUUGAUAGUGCAGAUUGCUGGAGGGAAGCAGGAUGUUUGUGGAUGAUUCUGAUAGCAGUUUAAAGAGCGUGAAUGUUAAUUGCUUGCUCAACCUUCUUGCCAUAAGGUUGCUUGUCAUGAUUUCUACUGAAUCUGAACAGAACAAAAUAGAAUUUCUUUUUUAUGGUGAUUAGUGUGUUUUAAAAAUGAAGUCUUUUCAGUGGUGAUUAAUGUUUUUCCCAGGAUAUUUCUAUAUGUAGCACCAGAGGUGUAUUGCAAACUAAACCAGUUGGUUUUCGAUUCUGGCUGUACUCCUAUGUUGAUUAAAGGCCUUCUACUCGAAUCAUUCUGGUGACUAGAAUAUGACAUAAUCUAUGCCCAUAUCCUGCAUGUCAAAGGUUGGCUUAAGUAGACAUCCUUUUCUUUAGUUGCUUGUCUGUCCUGUACUGUGUUCAAAAAAGGAUCUUCUAUUGUGCAAGGGGGUAAGGGACUGGUGACACAUCCCAGACACCCAAAAAUGUACUAUAUUUAUAUGUUAUUUGAAAUGAUGUAAGUUGGUUGGACCAGUACUCUUCAUAUUCGGAUUUGCCGAUGCGGUUAGGUUUGAAGCGAUUAAUUGAAUAUGGUUAGAUUAAUAGUUGAGUCGCAGUUGAUAAACCCGAUUCCACUAUUUAUUCUUACUUUUGAUUGAUAUAUACCAUUCUCAUGUGUUUGAUAUAUUUUCCAUUUUACUAUUGUUUGGUAAAAAUGCAGCUCUUAACAUGCCAUCCAAACAGUCUGCAAAGUGAACCAUAUUUCAUCCAUUUACCUAGGAAAUUUCCAUUUGACAAUAUAAUUCUAUCUGCAGUUUGAACAUUUACACCUAAAUGUACACACGCCUUAAAUCACAGAGCAAAAUAGGGAGAUUAUAAUGUGACUCAUGGCUCAUUGGUUGCGCAUCGGCCAGGUAUGCUGUAAUGUAAAGGUUCGAUUCCUUACAGAGUCAAUUUGAAAUAAAAUGUGAAUUAAAAAGAAUAUUCUAAUGGCAAUAUGGCACUUUCAAACAGUGUGUUCUUAAAUAAAUUAUUUCCAUGAAAAGUUCACUAUUUAGCAUGCGAUGCUUGCAGAUUGGCAAUUCAACUAUGAUACACUGAUGAGAUCUAUAUAGUCGCCUCAAUCUGUAAAUAACGAACUUGUAAAUCAUCAUGGAAGGAUAAGAGCAUUGUACAAAAUGAAAACAAAAUUAUAGGAAAAAGAAACAUUUUUGAAAAAAAAAUUUACGCAUUUUGUAUUGAUAUAUAACCUGUAAAGUAUGCUCCAGUUUACUACACUGAGGGUCCCAAAUAUUCGGCCCAAAAAUACACUACAACAUAUGCUGCUCCAAGCUAUUAUAUCCUCAACACUAUACCACAAAGGCAGCUGAGUACUACACCACAACAUACGCUGCUCCGGCUUACUACACUGAGGCUCCUGAAUACUACACAAACACUUACGCUGCCCCAGCUUACUACACUGAGGCACCUAAAUAUUACCAGACUGAGGCUCCAAGAUAUUAUACUAAAAAGGCCCCCGAGUAUACCACAUCAUAUGCUGCACCGAGCUACUACACUGAAGCUCCGAAAUACUACACAACAACCUAUGCAACCCCAUCCUACUACACUGAGGCUCCCAAGUACUAUUAAUCGUGAAAAUUGCGUUGUCCAUCAAGCUCGACGAUGGAAUAUUCAGAUUUGAUUUUAUCAUUUACAGUCCUCGUUCCAGGAUAAGUAUUUCCAUUUAUGCAUUCACUAGUCGUUCCAUACAAAUGUUUCCAAAUGAAUUGUUGAAUACAGAUAUAAUGCCGUUAA